RNAcentral lists this long non-coding RNA (273 nucleotides) under Mytilus galloprovincialis (Mediterranean mussel). The record is from RNAcentral. Lineage: Eukaryota; Metazoa; Mollusca; Bivalvia; Mytilida; Mytilidae.
CUAAAAUUAAAAAUAAUACAAGUGUAACAAAGGCCAGAUGCUCCCGACUUGGGACAUGCGCAAAAUAUGUUUUUGAGAUCUCAACCCUCCCCCUAUACCUGUCGCCAAUGUAGAAAAGUAAACGCAUAACGAUACGCACAUUGAAAUUCAGUUCAAGAGCAGUCCGAGUCUGAUGUUUAAAACGCAAGAGCAAUCCGCGUCUGAUGGUUAAAGCUCAUGUAUCGAGCAUACCCAUCCCACCCAUGUUCAUGAGGGAAUAGUUAUUGACUCCGC